Molecule: ribosomal RNA, 710 nt
Filed under: Shigella flexneri
Lineage: Bacteria; Pseudomonadati; Pseudomonadota; Gammaproteobacteria; Enterobacterales; Enterobacteriaceae
Description: bacterial SSU rRNA
Rfam family: Bacterial small subunit ribosomal RNA
Source: RNAcentral
CAGCUUGCUGCUUCGCUGACGAGUGGCGGACGGGUGAGUAAUGUCUGGGAAACUGCCUGAUGGAGGGGGAUAACUACUGGAAACGGUAGCUAAUACCGCAUAACGUCGCAAGACCAAAGAGGGGGACCUUCGGGCCUCUUGCCAUCGGAUGUGCCCAGAUGGGAUUAGCUUGUUGGUGGGGUAACGGCUCACCAAGGCGACGAUCCCUAGCUGGUCUGAGAGGAUGACCAGCCACACUGGAACUGAGACACGGUCCAGACUCCUACGGGAGGCAGCAGUGGGGAAUAUUGCACAAUGGGCGCAAGCCUGAUGCAGCCAUGCCGCGUGUAUGAAGAAGGCCUUCGGGUUGUAAAGUACUUUCAGCGGGGAGGAAGGGAGUAAAGUUAAUACCUUUGCUCAUUGACGUUACCCGCAGAAGAAGCACCGGCUAACUCCGUGCCAGCAGCCGCGGUAAUACGGAGGGUGCAAGCGUUAAUCGGAAUUACUGGGCGUAAAGCGCACGCAGGCGGUUUGUUAAGUCAGAUGUGAAAUCCCCGGGCUCAACCUGGGAACUGCAUCUGAUACUGGCAAGCUUGAGUCUCGUAGAGGGGGGUAGAAUUCCAGGUGUAGCGGUGAAAUGCGUAGAGAUCUGGAGGAAUACCGGUGGCGAAGGCGGCCCCCUGGACGAAGACUGACGCUCAGGUGCGAAAGCGUGGGGAGCAAACAGGAUU